UACGGAGAGUGCAAACGUUGUUCGGAUUCACUGGGCGUAAAGGGCACGUAGGCGGCUCGGCAAAUCGGUCGUGGAAUCUCGACGCUUACCGUCGAAACGGCGGCCGAAAAUACCGGGCUCGAGGGCGUGAGGGGUCACUGGAACUCCUGGUGAAGCGGUGAAAUGCGUAGAUAUCAGGAGGAACACCAAUUGCGAAGGCAGCUCGCUGGGACGUUACUGACGCUGAGACGCGAAAGCGUGGGGAGCAAACAGG
This 253-nucleotide ribosomal RNA is filed under the name uncultured bacterium. RNAcentral's name for it is "partial 16S ribosomal RNA". It matches the Rfam family "Bacterial small subunit ribosomal RNA", at positions 524 to 776 of the family's 1533-position model. The record is from RNAcentral.